Molecule: long non-coding RNA, 1209 nt
Organism: Salvelinus fontinalis (brook trout)
Lineage: Eukaryota; Metazoa; Chordata; Actinopteri; Salmoniformes; Salmonidae
Exons: 3
Source: RefSeq, a predicted model, not a curated record
CACAGCUAAAAAGACAAUCAGAUAUGUUAUCAGGGAUUUCCUGGUAAGGCUGCUGGCUACUAUUAGUUCAGAAUACUGAGGUUGUGAUGAGAAAAAUGGCUGUGAGUUUUGAAGUGUCUGUGAGAAUUUCUUGGAUUGUUGCCUGCUAAUUGGAGGGAUAACCUGUUAUUCUCCACCUAAAGGUAAUUAUAGAUAUAUUCCCCAAAAUCAAUUAAAAGGAACUGGCCACAAUGCAGCGGAAGCUACCGGCUCCCGUAUCUCGGCAAGUGAAGCAGCCACUAAUAAUGCCUCAGCAAGCGUCAUGACUGGCCUAAAUGUGGCCAGCUGCUUCAGCUGAGGUAGUGACGAGCAAGCGGCCACCCAUAAUGACUCGGCAGCGGAAGUAGCCACGCACAAUGUUUCGGCAAGUGUGGCAACUGGCCCAAAUACCUUAGGUGACGCAACUGGCCACGGUGCAGCGGAAGCAACUGGACACAGUGCCACGCAAGCGGCCACCCAUAAUGCCUCGGAAGUGGCCACCCACAAUGCCUCAGCAAGCGUCACGACUGGCCUAAAUACCUUAGGUGAAGCAACUGUCCACAGGCCCCCUUGCAGGAGGCGCCCUUGCCGACGCGCCCUUGCCUCGGCAGGGGCCACAGGCCUUGAACAGGAGGGCCAACUUCUCAAGCAACAUGGAUUUUAGCAGCAGUGAUGUUCCUCAGGAUUUUGGGUCUGACGGUGACAAUGAAGCACCCAAUGUGUCAGCUCCAGCAGCGUUCAAGGCAACAUCGUUGAACAGUCAGUUCUCAUCUCAAUAUAGUUACAAAUCGGUGUAUGAGAGUUAAACUUUCUACUCCCAAACCUGUAUACCACUGGGGAGGUUAUACCUUUUUGAUAGCGGAGAUGCUCUCAAGGACUGCAGUGACGUUGACAUCUCUGAACCAAGCAUAUCCCCACCUGCUAAAAACUCCUCCACAAGGUAACGGCUACUGGGAUGCAAUGUAAUGUUCAACUUUUACACUGAUCGGAACUUUGUGUUCUGAUUUUGAAAUCCUUUGUACUAAUCAGCUAUCAACAGAAUUGCAAUGGUAGAUUCAUCCUUUGGAUGACAAUUCUGAGUUGUUGCUGACACUAAGCUUCCACUGGAUGCUUUUGCGUCGGCCAGAAAUGCUGCUGCUCAUGCUACCCUGCAUUACUUGUAAAACACAAUAAAAUAUUGUACCUUUAAAA